GGCGCUAUCGUCUAGUGGCCUAGGACACCACCCUCUCAAGGUGGAGACACGGGUUCGACUCCCGUUAGCGCUA
Molecule: transfer RNA, 73 nt
Filed under: Clostridia bacterium
Lineage: Bacteria; Bacillati; Bacillota; Clostridia
Description: tRNA-Glu
Rfam family: tRNA
About the family: Transfer RNA (tRNA) molecules are approximately 80 nucleotides in length. Their secondary structure includes four short double-helical elements and three loops (D, anti-codon, and T loops). Further hydrogen bonds mediate the characteristic L-shaped molecular structure. tRNAs have two regions of fundamental functional importance: the anti-codon, which is responsible for specific mRNA codon recognition, and the 3' end, to which the tRNAs corresponding amino acid is attached (by aminoacyl-tRNA synthetases). tRNAs cope with the degeneracy of the genetic code in two manners: having more than one tRNA (with a specific anti-codon) for a particular amino acid; and 'wobble' base-pairing, i.e. permitting non-standard base-pairing at the 3rd anti-codon position.
Source: RNAcentral